RNAcentral lists this long non-coding RNA (1095 nucleotides) under Ficedula albicollis (Collared flycatcher). RNAcentral describes it as "lncRNA (ENSFALG00000026651.1)". The record is from RNAcentral. Lineage: Eukaryota; Metazoa; Chordata; Aves; Passeriformes; Muscicapidae.
GGGGGGGGGGGGGGGGGGGGGGGGGGGGGGGGGGGGGGGGGGGGGGGGGGGGGGGGGGGGGGGGGGGGGGGGGGGGGGGGGGGGGGGGGGGGGGGGGGGGGGGGGGGGGGGGGGGGCCCCCCCUGCCACACCUUCCACCAUCCCAGGCUGCUCCCAGCCCUGUAGAACCUGGCCUGGGACAUUUCCAGGGAUCCAGCAUUAUUCCGGACUGCAGCAGAGACAAACAAUAAAUUUAAACACAGUACUCCUUAAAAAAAGUUUACUGUCUAAAAUGAAAAUUCAAAUGGUUUAUUAAAAUUUAACAUUUUCCAUUUUGGCUUUUUCUAAAGAAACAAUUUAUUCCUUGUGAAAAAUCAACUAAAAGGUAAUUUCAUUUUACUGUACUGAACUCAAGUUAAACAUAAAGCACAAAGAACUUUACAUUAAACUGGGCUUUGCAUACAACAAGAAUGAUCAGAAAUAGACUAUUUUGAGGAAUAAAAAGUUGUGGGUUGUUUUUUGUUCAUCUAGACAACAUGCAUACCGUCAGUUACUUCGCAAUCUUAAAAGGUACCUGAAAGGAGAGUUUUGUAUAACAAAACCAAGACUCAUUAAUACACUUUGUAAGUCAGUGGUCAUCAUGCCUUUUUACUUAAAUUCUAGUAAAGUUUAGUCUACAUAGAACAGAUCGGAAGGGGGGGGGGGGGGGGGGGGGGGGGGGGGGGGGGGGGGGGGGGGGGGGGGGGGGGGGGGGGGGGGGGGGGGGGGGGGGGGGGGGGGGGGGGGGGGGGGGGGGGGGGGGGGGGGGGGGGGGGGGGGGGGGGGGGGGGGGGGGGGGGGGGGGGGGGGGGGGGGGGGGGGGGGGGGGGGGGGGGGGGGGGGGGGGGGGGGGGGGGGGCCAUGAAAAAACACCCAAAUAUCCAACCUAAACCUCCCCUGCUGCAAUUUGAGGCCAUUCCCAAGCCACGAUCCCUCAGGAUCCAGGAGGAGGGAGCUGGAAUUUUUAACACACCCCCCCCCCCGGGGGGGGGGGGGGGGGGGGGGGGGGGGGGGGGGGGGGGGGGGGGGGGGGGGGGGGGGGGGGGGGGGGGGGGGGGGGGGGGGGGGAAUUUUUAA